RNAcentral lists this signal recognition particle RNA (85 nucleotides) under Amylolactobacillus amylophilus DSM 20533 = JCM 1125. Its description in RNAcentral is "Lactobacillus amylophilus DSM 20533 = JCM 1125 signal recognition particle sRNA small type". It matches the Rfam family "Bacterial small signal recognition particle RNA". Rfam says of the family: The signal recognition particle (SRP) is a universally conserved ribonucleoprotein involved in the co-translational targeting of proteins to membranes. Lineage: Bacteria; Bacillati; Bacillota; Bacilli; Lactobacillales; Lactobacillaceae. The record is from RNAcentral.
GGCAAGGGCAAUAUUGCUCUUGUGAAUCGUGUCAGAUUCGGAAGAAAGCAGCACUAAGCAGGUUGCGGUAUGUGCCCUUAAAUUG